UUUUUCCGUCUUUGAGUCUAGCGUAUCCCUCCACGACGACCGAAUCGGUCAUCUUCAGUCAUGGUUCCUGACAGCUGCACAGUUGGCUGCCCCAAUGAGCAGUAGCCGUCCGGGAAGGCCACGCCUUUGUCGGGGAGACAGAUGGGCCUGAUGAAGGGUGUCCUCUUCACGCAGAGGCCAUCUUGCCUCUUCAGUUUGAUGAGAACUGGCCCACAGGCGGUCACAAGGAAGAAAAAAAACAAACAAACGGAGGGGACACUGCAGUACUCCCAGGAGAUGGCGCCCUUGCUCACAGUGUAACACCAUGGCAUCUUGUCUCCAUCUGGAUUCCUGCAAACACAAGG
This is a long non-coding RNA of Syngnathoides biaculeatus (alligator pipefish), 344 nucleotides long. RefSeq lists it as uncharacterized. The transcript has 3 exons. NCBI's taxonomy places the organism in Eukaryota, Metazoa, Chordata, Actinopteri, Syngnathiformes, Syngnathidae. The record is from RefSeq and is a predicted model, not a curated record.